Molecule: long non-coding RNA, 1288 nt
Organism: Malaclemys terrapin pileata
Lineage: Eukaryota; Metazoa; Chordata; Testudines; Emydidae
Exons: 3
Source: RefSeq, a predicted model, not a curated record
CAGCCAAGACCAACUCAGUGUGGCUUCACCUGAUUCAUCCAGGAUGGGAAGGGAUUUCCAGACAGGAUUACAUCAGCAUGGCUUUUACUAGCAAGACCACAGGAAGGCAGCACCCCUGGAAAAAUCAUGGAGCAGGUCCUCAAGGAAACCAUUUUGAAGCACUUGGAGGAGAGGAAGGUGGUCAGGAACAGUCAGCAUGGAUUCACCAAGGGCAAGUCAUGCCUGACCAACCUGAUUGCCUUCUAUGAUGAGAUAACUGGCUCUGUGGAUAUGGGGAAAGCGGUGGACGUGAUAUAUCUUAACUUUAGUAAAGGUUUUGAUAUGGUCUCCCACAGUAUUCUUGCCAGCAAAUUAAAAAAGUAUGGAUUGGAUGAAUGGACUAUAAGGUGAAGAGAAAGCUGGCUAGAUUGUCAGCCUCAACAGGUAGUGAUCAACAGCUCGAUGUUUAGUUGGCAGUCGGUAUCAAGUGGAGUGCCCCAGGGGUCUGUCCUGGGACUGGUUUCGUUUAACAUCUUUAUUAAUGAUCUGGACGAUGGGAUAGACUGCACCAUCAGCAAGUUCAUGGAUGACCCUAAACUGGAGGGAGAAGUAGAUAUGCUGGAAGCUAUACCCCUUAAAGCAAGACACAGCCCACAUCAUCUGUUUGAAAGCAAGGUGCAAUAGUCUGCUGCCCAACUUCAGAUGUCAUUGACAGCACUCCAGGGCACGUUUCAGCUGGAAUGGUUAGUUGUGAGCCUCAGUGAAGCAUCAGAGAAAGGACUAUUCUCAGUAAGUGCAAAUCAAGAAACACUUAACUGACAAUGGACUUUGGGAGACACCAAUCCACAUCUGAGCUUUCCUGGGAACAUUCAAACUAACAUGUGAACAAUGGUGUUGGCCUGCAAAAAGCUGAAUCAUUCAUGGACAUGUGACUUGCCCAGGUGGCUACAAACUCCAUCUUGUUGCUGUGACUUUGCACAGAAGAACAAGGUGUUUCCGCCCACAAGAGAGAAUAUAAAAGGCCCUGGAAGCCUCUCCAUUUUGUCUUCAGCUGGCUUAAGAAAUGGCCUCUCCACCCCAAAGAGAUGCCUGAAAGAAACUGGAACAAAGGACAGUAACUACAGGGGUGUGAGUGAUUGCUGAACACAGACUAGGAAGGAAUACAGUCUGUGAAAGAAGCUUAUUGGAACACCUCUGAGGGUGAGAUUUACCUGUAUUCAGUUUCCUACUGUAUUAGGCUUAGACUUGCGUGUUUUGUUUUAUUUUGCUUGGUAAUUUACUUUGUUCUGUCUGUUAUUACUUGGAACCA